RNAcentral lists this ribosomal RNA (1258 nucleotides) under Triticum aestivum (bread wheat). Its description in RNAcentral is "partial small subunit ribosomal RNA". The record is from RNAcentral. Lineage: Eukaryota; Viridiplantae; Streptophyta; Magnoliopsida; Poales; Poaceae.
CAUGAUACGACUCUGACUUCUCCUCCGAUCGGUCGCCGGGUAGAGAGAACGGCAGUGGCGACUCGGCGGUACAGAGGAAGUCUCCGAAUAACAUAACGAUGUACAAAUACGAAGAAUAGGUGAGUGGGUAACAUCACAUCCAGACAACACCGUUAACUUACGAAGUUUCCUAAAAUUACCUCAAGUAACACCGACUCAGCACUUAGAGGUCGAACGAAGGUACAGAAAAGAGUGAUCUCUGUGGAGGACGGCCACUGCCGCUACUGGCGAUGGGACGAGGAGAGGGCCGUUUCUUGAACCGCCGCGUUAUCGUCGAGUUGAUGAUAACAAUAAUUAGUCCUAUUUACGAAGACGGACCGACCGUGUGUACGAAUCCGUGUUGUCAGACGAGGUCGUGGCGUCCCGUUCCGCGCGACGUCCAGUAAAUAUAUCGUAGAGGAGUAAACAUAUAAUAAGUGUAUAUCGUAGAGUAAAGAACCAACUAACGAAUGUACAUAAGUUGAAGACGGAGAAAGCGAGGGUUCGACCGGAGGGAGAGGAGCCACGAGUCGCCCUCUUCGUACUCCACUACGUGGAAACUGGGGCAUCACGAGCCGAGGUUAAGUAGUCCCUCCGGUGGCCGUUCGUAGUUCGACGGGAACCACGAAGGAGCAGUAGUUCCUCCUCCUCCAGCCCAUCGUAGCAGGAGUUCCGUGUUGGCGCUGUAGCGUCUCUACCUGCUCUAACACCACGACGAGGAAGAACACCACAUACGUAGCCGCACCGAACGCCAUCACUACGUAUAGAAGCACCCGUUACGAUAAACUUCUGGUAAGUUCACUAAAUUUCCUCUUCUACAGGUCUGACAUUCCUCCAACUUCUACUGCUAGUUUUCUAACUGUAUAAUUCGCUGACGGUUCUUCGGUUAUUACGAACGGGGGACGGUAAUCAUUAUGGGAACGAAGAAAUACUUUAGAAAGGAUUGAUAGCAACGUCUAACACUCUAGGGAUAAAUUUAUGUAAUGAGUCGUCGACCGGCCAUGUCUCAACGCACCGUCCGUAUACACAAGAGUCGGUGGAAUAGUUAACAUCCGAAUCUUACUAAACGAAGCAGGUUCACAACAAACAAUUGUUAAGGAAACAAACAGGUACAGUUAAGACUAAAAUCUCCUAUGUAUACAAAACCAUCCUUCACAUAACAAGAAUACAAAAAAGGACCAUACAUGACUGACUACGUCAUUGACUACGAAGUCUAAUACUUUAGGGAUAAUUUACUUAG